UCAGACGAUGCGUCAUGCAUAUCAAUAAGCGGAGGAAAAGAAACUAACAAGGAUUCCCCUAGUAACGGCGAGUGAGGCGGGAAGAGCUCAAAUUUGAAAUCUUAAAGGGUUUCCCUUUACGAAUUGUAGUUUAAAGAAGUGUUUUCUGUUGAGGUUUUGGUAAAAGUUCUUUGGAAUAGGACAUCAUAGAGGGUGAGAAUCCCGUAUUUGACCUUUACUUUCAACUUUGUGAUACACUUUCAAAGAGUCGGAUUGUUUGGGAAUGCAGUCCAAAAUGGGUGGUAAAUUUCAUCUAAAGCUAAAUAUUGGCGAGAGACCGAUAGCGAACAAGUACCGUGAGGGAAAGAUGAAAAGAACUUUGAAAAGAGAGUUAAACAGUACGUGAAAUUGUCAAAAGGGAAGCGUUUGACACCAGUGUUGUUUUUCUGAAAAUCAAUUAAAGAACUGUUUAUGCUAAGUUGUUUAGACUUUAUCAGCUAACUGUUUAGUUCUGAGCUUUUCUUUAAUGCACUUUUCAGUUAACAAGUCAACAUCAAUUUCUUUUGCUGUAAAAAAGCUUGAGGAAGGUGGCUUGAGAUUCGUCUUAAGUGUUUAUAGCCUCUUGCCUAUGCAGUCGGAGAGAUUGAGGUCUGCAGCGUAGAUCCUUCGGGGCUAAAUGCAUUUGUGCUAAGUUAUAGCAUUUUAUAGACAACUUGUUGACUAUGAUUUGUCUUGUAGCUUACUCGCUUAUGUUAUUUUACCUACGCUUAGGAUGUUGAAUCUGUGCGAGACUAC
This 774-nucleotide ribosomal RNA is filed under the name uncultured Neocallimastigales. Its description in RNAcentral is "partial large subunit ribosomal RNA". It matches the Rfam family "Eukaryotic large subunit ribosomal RNA", at positions 18 to 644 of the family's 3401-position model. Lineage: Eukaryota; Fungi; Neocallimastigomycota; Neocallimastigomycetes; Neocallimastigales. The record is from RNAcentral.